UACAGAGGUCUCAAGCGUUGUUCGGAUUCAUUGGGCGUAAAGGGUGCGUAGGCGGCGCGGUAAGUCGGGUGUGAAAUCUCGGGGCUUAACUCCGAAACUGCAUUCGAUACUGCCGUGCUUGAGGACUGGAGAGGAGACUGGAAUUUACGGUGUAGCGGUGAAAUGCGUAGAUAUCGUAAGGAAGACCAGUGGCGAAGGCGGGGUCUCUGGACAGUUCCUGACGCUGAGGCACGAAGGUCAGGGGAGCAAACGGG
Molecule: ribosomal RNA, 254 nt
Filed under: uncultured bacterium
Lineage: Bacteria
Description: partial 16S ribosomal RNA
Rfam family: Bacterial small subunit ribosomal RNA
Source: RNAcentral